UAGUGAUAGAGCUUGAAUAUGAACUAAAUGAGUUCAAAAAGGACUUGUUAUCUUUGGGAGCUUUUAUACUUGAGCAAAAUAAAGUCGGAACGUUAACCACUUACGUGGUUUAUGCUUUAAGUAAUGACUCUGAUACCCAUGCGGUGAAUAUUUCGAAACAGGCCGCCUCGUUAUUGGUCCAUCUGGUCAAAUUUUGCAAUAAAAAUAACGAGUAUUAUCCCGACUUGAUAAAAAAUUUCCGGAUUGGCUCUUUUUCCACUCUUACUUUCAAAGUUGCUAUUUCCCAUUGGUUAAAUAAAUCUGCUCUUCUAUUUUCCUCUAUGCCUGAUACCUCCUGCUCCCCUUCUUCUCCAAAUAGAAAUCGAGAAAAAAUACUGAACAAAAUUGGCGCCAUCUCUAGUGCUCUCCUUGAAC
This is a long non-coding RNA of Zophobas morio, 414 nucleotides long. RefSeq lists it as uncharacterized. The transcript has 4 exons. The record is from RefSeq and is a predicted model, not a curated record. NCBI's taxonomy places the organism in Eukaryota, Metazoa, Arthropoda, Insecta, Coleoptera, Tenebrionidae.